CUGGGAAAUAGCAAACGGGAUCUCUCAUAGAGGAUACGGCUUUUUAUUACAAAUAAAAUUCCUUUUUUUCAUGCAGGUUAUUCCAAAGCCACGUGUGCUGAUUGUUCAUUUCAGUCAGCCUGCACCACCUUUUAUCAUCUGUGUCAAAAUGGACCUAACUGGUGGCAGUUUUGAGAGCAACCUGGCUUCUCUAAACCUCGUUGAGGGAAAAGAUUACAUCUUCUUCAGCUGACACUGACGUCGGUGAAACUAAGCACACAAACCUACAACACAAUUGAAGAGGCAAAAAUUGCUGGACUAUUGGACUGUUCGGCCUUCUGCAAUUCUACAUGUUAUUUUUGUAAAUAAAUAGUUUCUUUUGUUUCAACAGUACAUUAAAUAUAAUGUAAAUAGCCAACACAAUUUUUCUCUCGCCUAAAUCCCACCCAGAAAGCUUCAUAACAACAAUUUGAGUUCAAACCGAUAUCCUCAACGAUCACUUUCUCCUUAAGAAUCCUCUUCCAUAAGAACCAUCCUGAAAUAAAGGUAUAUCACCAAUAGCCCCUAAUAAAGAAAAAACAAAAAUCAAGUGAUUUUUUUUGUAUUGUUGAUUUAUCGCAACACUUUUAUAUAAACAUUAAUAAUAUUAACUCGAACAGUCCUCCAUCCUUCAAAUUUGUUUGACAUGCUAUUUCACACAUGGAUAUAGAGUUAGGAUUAAGAUUGAAGAGCCACUGAAAUGUUUCUUAAUGCAAUCCUUGGAAAUGCACCAUUGUGUCCCAUUUAGCCCUAUUUUCAAUUUUCAUUCUGCCGUUUUUAAGUGUAUUUUAGUGUUUUUGUGUUUUUUUUUAUGCUGAUACAAAUUUCCAUAUUAAAGAGCGAAAGUGUGAUGUCAUAUCAGACAAAAACCACAACGUUGCAAUUAGUGUUGCACCAAAAGUUGCCAGAAAUUUGGAUAUCUCGUUGUCAUAAUUUUUUCUUUAGUAAUUCGUUGUUAUGUCAAUACAUGGCAGUAAGCCAUUGAACAAACCUUUCUCAUAAAUAUUACAGUGAAAACAAUUUAGGUUCAGAAUUUCUACAGAGUAACAGAUAAUAAGAACAGUGUCUCCCUGAAAUGACAUCACAGAAACAGCGCCCUUAGUUAUCCACAAGGCAUGAAUUGUUUUUAAUGUUUAAAGAAACGUAUUUUUCAAUAAACUUAAAGAAGAUUAGAAAAACCUUCCCCCAUUAGAAUGAUCUACUUUGGCAAAAUAAUUAUAAUUGCUUAGAUAAACGCAUUCCCCUUAAAUAAGAGACUUUUAUUAUAACAGAACUUUUAUUUUAAUAGAACUUGAAAAAUGCAUAUUGUGUACUUGCCUUGUCGAUAAUCUUCGCACACCAAAUACAUCCCUUCACCAAAUUCAUUGAAAAUUCCUGUAAUAUAUAAAUCCAGUGAAAAACAAUUAUAUUAUUUUGUUUUCAUAUACCAUGUAAAUACAUUUGAACUGCCUCUUCAAACAAACAAAAAUUGUUGGUCUCACCAUCACAUUUUAAUUUUUCUUAAAGUAUAUUGAUCUUAAUAAUUCAUUAACAUCAUUAUAUCAUUUUGUAUUUUAUUUAUACAGUGAAAUCUCGAUAAGUCAAACUCUGAUAACUCAAAACAACUGUUCAGUCAAACAAAGAAUCCAUUGCCUUCAGUAGUAUAACAAUGAUAUACAA
This 1677-nucleotide long non-coding RNA is filed under the name Patiria miniata (bat star). RNAcentral's name for it is "uncharacterized LOC119722014, transcript variant X1". The record is from RNAcentral. Lineage: Eukaryota; Metazoa; Echinodermata; Asteroidea; Valvatida; Asterinidae.